This is a long non-coding RNA of Mercenaria mercenaria, 517 nucleotides long. RefSeq lists it as uncharacterized. The transcript has 5 exons. Lineage: Eukaryota; Metazoa; Mollusca; Bivalvia; Venerida; Veneridae. The record is from RefSeq and is a predicted model, not a curated record.
AACGUCACAAGACGAAAGCAUAGAGGAAGGCGAUAAACUGACAGACUUGGAAAUAACAAACUUGGUGACAUCUAGUGUGAGGAUUGCAGAGUUAUUGUCUUCUUCGCCAGAUUCAUUGAAUGCUGACAUAUCUAAUGACUUUACUGAGUAUAUAAGCAACUUAUUAGAUCCUACGAAUACAGAGAGUUGGAAUGCCAUAUCGCAAACGAGUAGCAGUGUGGCUGAAAGUGUCUUAUCAAGCAUUGAUACACUUGGUGAAGCGCUUGGAAAAUAUGUCGCAUCAUCGGGCACAGCCCUUCCUCAGUCGUGAAAAAGAACAUAGCUGUUCAAGUAAAGCAGAUUUCAUCAGAUGAGUUUGUUUUUCCUGAUUCCGAUGCCAAACAUGACACUGUAGACGGCAAUUGGCUCGUAGAUACAAAGAGUAAAGUCCAAUUUAAUCUAGACUCAUUGCAAGGAGAAACUGGCCAAGAGUUUAUUGUCACAGCGGCAAUGUAUAAAGAUUUGUCAGAUAUUCUGC